This 501-nucleotide ribosomal RNA is filed under the name uncultured bacterium. RNAcentral describes it as "bacterial SSU rRNA". It matches the Rfam family "Bacterial small subunit ribosomal RNA", at positions 29 to 528 of the family's 1533-position model. The record is from RNAcentral.
AAUAAACGUUGGCGGCGUGCCUAACACAUGCAAGUCGAGCGAGAAAGGGCUUCGGCCUGAGUACAGCGGCGGACGGGUGAGUAACGCGUAGGGAUCUGCCUUUCAGUGAAGAAUACUCUCGAGAAAUCGAGGUUAAUACUGCAUACGUCUAGAAAUAGAGAAAGAUGGCCUCUUUGCUGUCGCUGAAAGAUGAACCUGCGUACUAUUAGCUAGUUGGUAGGGUAAGAGCCUACCAAGGCAAUGAUGGUUAACCGGCCUGAGAGGGUGUACGGUCACACUGGAACUGAGACACGGUCCAGACUCCUACGGGAGGCAGCAGUGAGGAAUAUUGCGCAAUGGGCGAAAGCCUGACGCAGCGACGCCGCGUGGAGGAUGAAGGUCUUUGGAUUGUAAACUUCUGUUAAGUGGGAAGAAAUGUUGAAGGUUAAUACCCUUCGAAGAUGACGGUACCAUUAAAGAAAGCACCGGCUAAACUCGUGCCAGCAGCCGCGGUAAAGUCGA